CAGUCGCCGCGGUAAUACAGAGGAUGCAAGCGUUAUCCGGAAUGAUUGGGCGUAAAGCGUCUGUAGGUGGCUUUUCAAGUCCGCCGUCAAAUCCCAGGGCUCAACCCUGGACAGGCGGUGGAAACUACCAAGAUGGAGUACGGUAGGGGCAGAGGGAAUUUCCGGUGGAGCGGUGAAAUGCGUUGAGAUCGGAAGGAACACCAACGGUGAAAGCACUCUGCUGGGCCGACACUGACACUGAGAGACGAAAGUUAGGGGAGAAAAUGGGAUUAGAUACCCCCGUAGUCCCUGUCUCUUAUAC
RNAcentral lists this ribosomal RNA (301 nucleotides) under uncultured bacterium. Its description in RNAcentral is "partial 16S ribosomal RNA". It matches the Rfam family "Bacterial small subunit ribosomal RNA", at positions 509 to 808 of the family's 1533-position model. The record is from RNAcentral.